This is a long non-coding RNA of Carassius gibelio (silver crucian carp), 1115 nucleotides long. RefSeq lists it as uncharacterized. The transcript has 2 exons. Lineage: Eukaryota; Metazoa; Chordata; Actinopteri; Cypriniformes; Cyprinidae. The record is from RefSeq and is a predicted model, not a curated record.
UCUGGUGGUAAAUGUGGAAUAGUCCUGAUUGGAGUGCCCUCUACAAAAGUUCAUGGGCACUCCAUGUAAUGAUCGUGACAAUUGCAGUGGGCAUUUACUUCAAAGGCUACAAUCUGCUACACCUAUUCAAAUUGAGCAUUUCGAUGAGGGCGGUCAAAACAGGACAGAAAAUAGCCUAUUUCAUCUAAAUUAUGAUUUUUUAUUAAUUGAAAAAUCCCCUUUAAAACCUUGGAGCUGCUGGCAUUUACAAGGGAUUUUAUUGGUCUAUUGAAGUCAUAUCUACAAACUGUUGUCUGAGCCACCUGCAAUUUAAGCUGUCAGAGGAGCUGGGUUUCAAAAGCUUCAGUCAUCGUUCUUGUAGAAUAUGAGAGGCCUUUGGCUAUGGAUAUUAAGCCAAAGUCAGAGGUCAAAGGGAAGUGAAAUGCCAUUACAAGGAAGAAAUCUGAGGUGCUUGUCCUCUGAUCUCCUCAACGGCUGAGAGCAGAAAUGUCUCCUGCUGAGGAGAAGAACCCUGGCCAGUUCUCAUGACACAUGACCCCCGACAUGUCCUGCCGUUAUGGAUGAGCUGAAAAGAAUGUCCUACAUUUUUCAUGCCCCUCCACUGGCACAAAUAAUAAUUUAUAAAAAUCCUGUGCAUUUAGCUUAUCUAAAAAUACACAAAGCACAUUGUUUGCUGUGAUUAUUAAAAUGUGAUGAUGAAGAUGUGUAGCUUUUAACAUGCAAAGCAGAUCUGGAAACGUGAUUCUUUAUGAAUCUGACUGUGCUGAGAGACUCAAGCUUGUGGUUCAGAGCACAUGUGAAACCAAGUCCAAUAGUCUCCAGACCAGCACACUCCUGUGGUCAUCUUGUGGCUGCUUAUGAAGUGGUUUUGCAUAGAAAUUUGAAAGAGACCUAAUGAAAAAAAUCAUCAAAGGUCAGAGAAUCCUGAGCAUCAAAUGGAAACAUACAAUACAAAUCAUUGUUUUUCAGUGUGUGUGUGUGUGUGUGUGUGCGUGUGUGUGUUUUACCAUUGCAGCAACUAUUAUUAUUGCUUUUUUAUUUUAUUUUAUUUUAUUUUUUUUUAUCAAAUGGAAUGCAUUUAUUAAAUAUAAUAAAAUAACAACCUUUCAACUGUC